RNAcentral lists this ribosomal RNA (1346 nucleotides) under uncultured bacterium. RNAcentral's name for it is "partial 16S ribosomal RNA". It matches the Rfam family "Bacterial small subunit ribosomal RNA", at positions 28 to 1381 of the family's 1533-position model. The record is from RNAcentral.
GACGAACGCUGGCGGCGUGCUUAACACAUGCAAGUCGAACGGAAAGGCCCUGCUUUUGUGGGGUGCUCGAGUGGCGAACGGGUGAGUAACACGUGAGUAACCUGCCCUUGACUUUGGGAUAACUUCAGGAAACUGGGGCUAAUACCAGAUAGGAGCUCCUGCUGCAUGGUGGGGGUUGGAAAGUUUCGGCGGUUGGGGAUGGACUCGCGGCUUAUCAGCUUGUUGGUGGGGUAGUGGCUUACCAAGGCUUUGACGGGUAGCCGGCCUGAGAGGGUGACCGGCCACAUUGGGACUGAGAUACGGCCCAGACUCCUACGGGAGGCAGCAGUGGGGAAUAUUGCACAAUGGGCGGAAGCCUGAUGCAGCAACGCCGCGUGCGGGAUGACGGCCUUCGGGUUGUAAACCGCUUUCGCCUGUGACGAAGCGUGAGUGACGGUAAUGGGUAAAGAAGCACCGGCUAACUACGUGCCAGCAGCCGCGGUGAUACGUAGGGUGCGAGCGUUGUCCGGAUUUAUUGGGCGUAAAGGGCUCGUAGGUGGUUGAUCGCGUCGGAAGUGUAAUCUUGGGGCUUAACCCUGAGCGUGCUUUCGAUACGGGUUGACUUGAGGAAGGUAGGGGAGAAUGGAAUUCCUGGUGGAGCGGUGGAAUGCGCAGAUAUCAGGAGGAACACCAGUGGCGAAGGCGGUUCUCUGGGCCUUUCCUGACGCUGAGGAGCGAAAGCGUGGGGAGCGAACAGGCUUAGAUACCCUGGUAGUCCACGCUGUAAACGGUGGGUACUAGGUGUGGGGUCCAUUCCACGGGUUCCGUGCCGUAGCUAACGCUUUAAGUACCCCGCCUGGGGAGUACGGCCGCAAGGCUAAAACUCAAAGGAAUUGACGGGGCCCCGCACAAGCGGCGGAGCAUGCGGAUUAAUUCGAUGCAACGCGUAGAACCUUACCUGGGUUUGACAUGGAUCGGGAGUGCUCAGAGAUGGGUGUGCCUCUUUUGGGGUCGGUUCACAGGUGGUGCAUGGCUGUCGUCAGCUCGUGUCGUGAGAUGUUGGGUUAAGUCCCGCAACGAGCGCAACCCUUGUUCACUGUUGCCAGCACGUUAUGGUGGGGACUCAGUGGAGACCGCCGGGGUCAACUCGGAGGAAGGUGGGGAUGACGUCAGGUCAUCAUGCCCCUUAUGUCCAGGGCUUCACGCAUGCUACAAUGGCUGGUACAGAGAGUGGCGAGCCUGUGAGGGUGAGCGAAUCUCGGAAAGCCGGUCUCAGUUCGGAUUGGGGUCUGCAACUCGACCUCAUGAAGUCGGAGUCGCUAGUAAUCGCAGAUCAGCAACGCUGCGGUGAAUACGUUCCCGGGGCU